GAUGAACGCUGACAGAAUGCUUAACACAUGCAAGUCAACUUGAACUUCGGUUUGGGUGGCGGACGGGUGAGUAACGCGUAAAGAACUUGCCUCACAGAUAGGGACAACAUUUGGAAACGAAUGCUAAUACCUGAUAUUAUGAUUUUAGGGCAUCCUAGGAUUAUGAAAGCUAUAUGUGCUGUGAGAGAGCUUUGCGUCCCAUUAGCUAGUUGGAGAGGUAACGGCUCACCAAGGCGAUGAUGGGUAGCCGGCCUGAGAGGGUGAUCGGCCACAAGGGGACUGAGACACGGCCCUUACUCCUACGGGAGGCAGCAGUGGGGAAUAUUGGACAAUGGACCAAGAGUCUGAUCCAGCAAUUCUGUGUGCACGAUGAAGUCUUUCGGAAUGUAAAGUGCUUUCAGUUGGGAAGAAAAAAAUGACGGUACCAACAGAAGAAGUGACGGCUAAAUACGUGCCAGCAGCCGCGGUAAUACGUAUGUCACAAGCGUUAUCCGGAUUUAUUGGGCGUAAAGCGCGUCUAGGUGGUUAUAUAAGUCUGAUGUGAAAAUGCAGGGCUCAACUCUGUAUUGCGUUGGAAACUGUGUAACUAGAGUACUGGAGAGGUAAGCGGAACUACAAGUGUAGAGGUGAAAUUCGUAGAUAUUUGUAGGAAUGCCGAUGGGGAAGCCAGCUUACUGGACAGAUACUGACGCUGAAGCGCGAAAGCGUGGGUAGCAAACAGG
RNAcentral lists this ribosomal RNA (722 nucleotides) under uncultured Fusobacterium sp. RNAcentral describes it as "bacterial SSU rRNA". It matches the Rfam family "Bacterial small subunit ribosomal RNA", at positions 28 to 776 of the family's 1533-position model. The record is from RNAcentral. Lineage: Bacteria; Fusobacteriati; Fusobacteriota; Fusobacteriia; Fusobacteriales; Fusobacteriaceae.